This 1274-nucleotide ribosomal RNA is filed under the name metagenome. Its description in RNAcentral is "bacterial LSU rRNA". It matches the Rfam family "Bacterial large subunit ribosomal RNA", at positions 1598 to 2869 of the family's 2925-position model. The record is from RNAcentral.
UUUCACGCUGCCAAGAAAAGCCUCUAGCGAGGCGGGAGGUGCCUGUACCGCAAACCGACACAGGUAGGCGAGGAGAGAAUCCUAAGGUGAUCGAGAGAACUCUCGUUAAGGAACUCGGCAAAAUGACCCCGUAACUUCGGGAGAAGGGGUGCUCUGGUAGGGUGUUAAAGCCCGAGAGAGCCGCAGUGAAUAGGCCCAGGCGACUGUUUAGCAAAAACACAGGUCUCUGCAAAACCGCAAGGUGAAGUAUAGGGGCUGACGCCUGCCCGGUGCUGGAAGGUUAAGAGGAGAGGUCAGCGCAAGCGAAGCUUCGAAUUGAAGCCCCAGUAAACGGCGGCCGUAACAAUAACGGUCCUAAGGUAGCGAAAUUCCUUGUCGGGUAAGUUCCGACCCGCACGAAAGGCGUAACGAUCUGGGCACUGUCUCAACGAGAGACUCGGUGAAAUUAUAAUACCUGUGAAGAUGCAGGUUACCCGCGACAGGACGGAAAGACCCCGUGGAGCUUUACUGUAACCUGAUAUUGAAUUCCGGUGCAGCCUGUACAGGAUAGGUAGGAGCCUUGGAUUCCGGAGCGCUAGCUUCGGAUGAGGCGUUGGUGGGAUACUACCCUGGCUGUAUUGGACUUCUAACCCAUGCCCCUUAUCGGGGCAGGAGACAGUGUCAGGCGGGCAGUUUGACUGGGGCGGUCGCCUCCUAAAGAGUAACGGAGGCGCCCAAAGGUUCCCUCAGAAUGGUCGGACAUCAUUCGUAGAGUGCAAAGGCAUAAGGGAGCUUGACUGCGAGACCUACAAGUCGAGCAGGGUCGAAAGACGGGCUUAGUGAUCCGGUGGUUCCGCAUGGAAGGGCCAUCGCUCAACGGAUAAAAGCUACCCCGGGGAUAACAGGCUUAUCUCCCCCAAGAGUCCACAUCGACGGGGAGGUUUGGCACCUCGAUGUCGGCUCAUCGCAUCCUGGGGCUGUAGUCGGUCCCAAGGGUUGGGCUGUUCGCCCAUUAAAGCGGUACGCGAGCUGGGUUCAGAACGUCGUGAGACAGUUCGGUCCCUAUCCGUCGCGGGCGCAGGAAAUUUGAGAGGAGCUGUCCUUAGUACGAGAGGACCGGGAUGGACAUACCUCUGGUGUACCAGUUGUCUUGCCAAAGGCAUCGCUGGGUAGCUAUGUAUGGACGGGAUAAAUGCUGAAAGCAUCUAAGCAUGAAGCCCCCCUCGAGAUGAGAUUUCCCAUUACGCAAGUAAGUAAGAUCCCUCAAAGAAGAUGAGGUUGAUAGGUCUGGGGUA